This is a long non-coding RNA of Passer domesticus (house sparrow), 6968 nucleotides long. RefSeq lists it as uncharacterized. The transcript is spliced from 3 exons. Lineage: Eukaryota; Metazoa; Chordata; Aves; Passeriformes; Passeridae. The record is from RefSeq and is a predicted model, not a curated record.
AGUACAAGUUCCUUCCAUUUCUUUCCCUAUUUGUUCCAUGUUUCAUCUGAUGCCAUUAUUUAUUCUGAAGUGGUAUUCUUCCCUCCAUGUCUGACUGUCAUGUCUCCACCAAUUUCUGCAAAUAUACAAAAAUACUUUGAUCAUUUUAAGAUGGAAAAAUAUUCCUCCUCAACUCAUCUAUGUUUCCCCCCUUAACUGAACAGAUUAAAGUCAGAAUCCGAUUAUUCAUAAUUAAUCUCUGGGCAUAACAAUGUUUUUAUUUCAGCUUCAAAGGAGUGAUUUCACAAGAUUUUUUUUCUGUGUCUUUUAUUUUUCAUAGCUAAUAUGCUGCCCCAAUUCUACAGACAGUGGUGAAACACAAGGGUUUUCUAAAUUUUUAUAUAUUAGCAAAAAAUUGCAGUGAACACAAAAGACAGUUGUUGCCUUCACACAAUAUAAAUGCAAAGACCAAUACCCACCAUAUUAUAGCAAACUUACAUAAUUGUGUAUGUGUGCACACACAACCCACACACAAUUUCCACGAACCUGCACAGUGGCUGGAACAGCUUCUGCAGUGCUACUAACAAGAAAGACACUUAUGGCCUACGGAAGAUAAACAAAGUCUCAUUAUUCACAUCCAUUUUUCAGCCAAACAUAUAACUAUCUAAAACUCAAGUGGAAGCAGUUUUUACCUCUCAGCGAGGAUUUGGCAAGUCUUUGGGUUCUUUGCAUUUCAUCACUUUAAUUUUCUAAUUCUUGCUUUAGUUUCAAGAGCUACCAAAACAUUUUUUCUGCUAUAUACUCUGCUGUUGUUUCCUAAAAUUCUAAUGCUGAACUUUGAAGGCAAGACAGAGCAGUAGCAUAUUUGACUCUUACUCUGAAAUGCAGCAGAAACACUUUGCAAGCCCAGAAACCACAAGGUGGUAACAUAUGUGUGUAGCUAAAAAUGCUAAUACAAACACAGUUCCCCUGUACUAGUGAAGCCACACCUCAAGUCCUGUCUUCAGUUCUGGGCCCUUCAUGACACGAAAGACAUUGAAGGGCUGGAGCAAGUAGAAUGGAAAUGGAGCUGGUGAAGAGUCUGGAGCACAAAUCCUGUGAGGAGCAGUUGAGGUUGCUGGAGGUGUGCAGCCUGGAGAAAGGGAAGCUCAGCUUUCUACAGCUGCCUGAGAAUAGGCUGUAGCAAGGUGGGGUGGUCAGUCUUUUCUCCCAGUUUCUCCCAGUUAAAAAGUGACAGGACAGGAGAAAAUUGCCUCAAGUUGUGCCAGGUGAGGUUUAGACUGGAUAUUAGGAAUUUUUUUUUUCACUGAGAGGGUGGUCAGGCAUUGUAACAGGCUUCCCAGGAAAGUGGUUGAGUGACCAUUUUUGGAGGUAUUUAGAAGAUGUGUGGAUGCAGCAGCUGGGAUAGGGUUUAGUGGUGAACAUGGUGGUGCUGCAUUAAGCUGGAUCAGAUGUUAUGUGGGGAGGUGAUGAUAGCACCACAUAGAGAAUGAAAGUGGAUGUAAGUGGCUGGAUCACAGAGAAUGCUGAAAGUCAAGCAAGGGUAUUUGAACUUGUGUGGCUUAAAUCAGCAAACUGGUCGAGAAAUUAAAGGAAUUAACUGAAUUCUUCAGAAGUAUAUGUUUGCACUGAGUAGAUUGGAGAUGGAGAUGAAGGGUGAAGAAAAGGAAAAACAUAUUGUGAUCAUCCACAAAGCAAUGCUACAAGUUGUGGUAAAGCAUUACAUAACAAUAAAAGAAAACAUUGAGACUGGAAUGCCCAUUCCUUUCCUCUAAGAGGUGAGGCCAAACAUUUCAAUUGCCUUUCACGCAACAAAAUAGAAGGGGAAGAACAGCUGUUAAAUCUAAACUUACAUGUGCCAUUUCAUCUUCCAUUCAGAACACUUCAUCUAAAGAGUUUGCUUUCCUGAUGGUGGGGUAUACUCUUCCAUUUUUCCUAUGGCUGAGCUCCCAGACUUCUUUUGGCAGUCAGUUACUAUAGAGACAAAUUAAGAAAUAUAUACAUGGACCAUGUCACAGUACUAGAGAACACCUGGUGGCAACAGCAGAACAAAGGAAGGAUAGAGCUGCUGCUCCUCCCAGCAGAGACAUAUAUACAUGGUUAUCGCAGGUACUCCAAAACAAGAACGUCUUUUAUCAAUCUGCAUUUUCCAAUGGGACUAAAUGCAGCCACAGUGGUGAAGUGGGAGGCUGUGCAGUGGUACAGCCUUUUAAGGUGGAUAUCAGUCUAUAUUGGGGGAGGAGUCUAGUGAUGCACAAGUACUGCCUAGUAGCACAAGAACAUGCACUAUACUACUCAGUGCUAUUAAGGGGGCUAGAGUUAGGUUUGCAGUCCCCUUAAAGCCAUAGCUUGGCUGAUUAUUUAUCUCAUGACAUCUGCUCUGACCUGUAAGGUCUUAACAAGCAGUUGGCUGUGAUCCUAUAGCCCUAUCAGUAAAUCUGCCCUCUCAUCCACUAUUCAGUUUUUUCCCUGUUAUUAACUAACGCGCUCUCAGGACAACUACUUCUUUGCCUCUCAUUUUCAUGCUCUGAGGACACUCUCCUUCCUCUUGGUAUACAAAUACUGAAGAAGUUUAGAAACAGGCAAGUAUGUAAUGGCUACAUGCACAGUGAUCCACCAUGGGGAAGUCACAGGCACACAAAACAAUCAUUUGGACCUGAAGCCUGCAUUGCAUUUAUGAUGGCAGAGACCCUCCACUGUUACACACACUAGUACUUGGGAAGAAUAGAUAGAAAUUAUUUGGUGGCUUUAAGAAGGGAAAGGGAGAGGAAAAGGAACAGGAAGAAAAAAUUGAAAGGAACCUGUUCUGCCAAUUACUGAGGCAACAGCAAGGCAUCUCAUGCUAUGUGUGCAACAAUAUUUAUUUGCUUCUCACAGACCUGUGGCAUGGCAGAGCUCUAAGGUGCACUUGAGGUUCCAUAUUCAGCGGAGAGAAGGGCUUGGUAACUUAGCCUAUGCUGCACAGCCAUGCUCCAGCCCUGCCUGUGCUCCAAACUAAUGGUUAUACAAGCAAAUCAGCACAGCGAGCACAACCUAAUAUCCUCUUCACACCAGCAGUACUGAUUUGCUUUAAUUUAGCACUGUGUUAACUACCCACACUGGAGCUCACUUCUAAUUGACUAUCCUGGAAGCCAGAGCAGAGCCUGUUUCUGUCGGCCCAACAACAGCAGCCUUGGAAAGGCUUUCAGAGCAAGCAUGCUAAGUAGUACGACAUUUUAGGCAGCCAAGAAAAUACUAGGGAUUACACAAGUACCUUUAGCCACACUCCUCUCUGGAAAUUAGGAGUCUUACUCAGUCAAGUCAGUGAAAGGCUUUUCCCAGCUUCCAGUCUGGCACCUGGACCACAGCCCUGGUGUGUUCUGAAGACAUGGCUCUUUCUAGAACAUAAGUCCUGAGAGAAAACCAUAAUUUCCUAUUUCCCAAGGAGACUGACACCCACAGCCCUCCCACUGAAACCAGGGACUCAGGCUGGUGGACUACUCUGAAGAAGAUGGUAUCCACCUUUCUUUUUAACACCAUCAACUCUGAAUGAGAGAAUGAACCUCUUUCUUAGCAUGCUUAGGCAGAACAGGGUAAGCUCUAAACCCCAGGCUUCACUCUAAGAGCUCCUUAGGGUUCUUCACUCAAAUAUAAAGAUGUCACAAAGCCUAUGAGCUGCUUUGAAACUUGUUUAAAGAAGUUUCUUAAACUCUUCCCUAGGCUACUGCUACAGACAGCACAAUGGGCCUGGAAGGUUUGCUACAGCUGCUUUGUUCUUAGCAGGGGCUGAAGUCCCAGCAAACUUGCAAACCAAAUGCUUAUUGAUAUGAAGACCUAACUGUUCAAGGGAGCAGGCAGGAGCUCAGAGAAAUUUAAGACCGGUUAGGAGUUUAUGCUCUUUUAGCAUGAAGAAUCAGGUAUGAAGCUGGUCUUUCUGAUUUUGAAUUUGUGUAGUGUUUAUUGUGCCCAUAUGGUGUUCAACGUACCUAAAACCUCCUCUUUCUCUCUCAGAAAACAGCCAAAAUCAAGUUAACCUAAAUCUCCUUUGCCACAGACUUUAGCUUAAGCUGAUUUCAGUGCAAGGCUGACAAGAAGAGAUUUUACCUAAACCUAGUACAAGAUAAAAACGUUAUAACAGGACACAGAAAAGGAGUGGCAGUGAAAAUCAAUGGUUGAAUUUAUAUAGAAAAUCAUUUUGUAAGUGUAAGAAAACAAUUCAGUAUUUUCUAAUUUUCUUCAGUCUAGGGCUAUAAUAUCAUUUUUCAUAUCCUGGGGUGAAUAUAACAGUUAAGCUAAUGUUAAAGAGUAAGUUAACAUUCUUAACUGAUUCUUAAACAAAUCUUGUGCUGGUACAGACAAACCUCAAAACAAGAACUACUAUCAUAAAAUUUAAGUACGGCUCCCCAAGAUAAAACUUUCUUUAACAGGGAUGUCUUAUUUUAGAAAAUCUAAUGUGACUAGGAGAAUGGGUUAAGGCCAGAGACAUCUUCCUAGUCUCGCUAUUGUCCCUAAAGAUGAUUUAUGAUAAUAUGGUGCAAAUAUGCAAACAAACACAUACUCAAGCACCAUUCAAUUCAUGUUGUACUACAUGUGCAAAGGCUGUGUAGUAAGCAAAUCCUAAAAGGUAAACACGGCCCUAGGGACGUGAACUGUAGAAUUCACAAGACCCCUUCACCAGCAUCAGUAAGCACAGAAGAAUUAACAAGAGCAUAUUACUUACUCAACAGUACCCAAAAUUAUCAAGGGAAGUUAAUAUAUUGUCUUGGUUUAAUACAUUUGAGGGGGACACUUAAAAAUUAGUUACCACCCCUUAGUUUUAACCACUCUUUCCACCAUUAAGGAGAUACAAAUAUGAGUUAAUACAACUGAAAAAAUAACAGUUUAUUAACAAGCAAAAGCGGGUGGCUGUAGCGACUGCAUGGAGUGGGGCUGCUCCGCUUGUCCCAGCACGGCGCUGCAGCUGCAGACAGAUGUUGCAAAAUUCCCACUUGAAAAAGUUUUUGUUUGAGAAACGCAGCUUCUAGAGUUGGCACUGUUGCGAGAGGAAAAAAGCAAGAGGCAGAGGGAGCAGUGGGAGGGAGCCUCUGCCUCAAUGCCUUGACUUCUAAAGAGACCCCAGCCCCUGCCCUGCCCUUCCUUUUUGUGGCUGCAGGGUCUGAAAGGGACAGAAGUAAAUUUGGGCACAGAGAGAUGUGCAAUACAAUAACAUUUUAGGUUACCCAGGGCAUAGGUUUAAAUACUUUGCUUUUUCUGUCACAUAUUCCCAAAUAUUGACCCUGAAUCUGCAUUGACUGGACGUGUCCAGCUAUCAGAUCACAGGUUGCAGUUGGAAAGGACAUCUGCAGUGGAGGUCAUGUAGUCCUACCCCCUGGUCAGGCAGAUCCUCCUACAGCCUGUUGCCCAGGACCGUGUUCCAGCUGAUUUUGAUGAAUGGAGUCUUCAGAGCUUCCCUGUGCAACCAGUGCCAUUGCUCGGUCACCCUUACUUGUGAAAAAGUGUCUUCUGAUAUUUAGAGGGAGCCACCUGUGCUUUUAGUUUGUGCCCACCACCCAUUGCUCUCUCUCUGUGACCUCCCUUCCGAUAUUUGUAUACACUUUUAAGAUUCCACCCCCAAGCCUUCUUUUCUGCAGGUUGAAGUCACAAUUCCCUGUAUUUUCUCACAGGAAAAGUCCCCUAAACAUCUCUGCAGCCUUUCGCUGGACUUGCUGCAGUAUGGCCAUGUCUCUCUUGUACUUGGGAGUCCGCAGCAGAAGCCAGCAGACACCACCAGUGCUGAGGAGAGCGGCAGAACCCCAUCCCUCCACCUGCCAGCAGCACUGCUGCUCAAGCAGCUCAGGACACCGUUCACCUUCUUUUUUAGAAAAGCAAAAAACUGCCCGUGUCUGUUCCACUUGGUGUCUGCUAGGACAUCCGGCCUCUUACUGCAAAGCUGCUUCCUAGACACUUUGUGUGGAAAGAAUUUCUUCUGAUGAAGAACCUAACCUCCUAAGGAAAACUCUCACAAGCUAACUGUGUACCACCACCAGCAGUAGCAAUUGCCACAUUACUGUAAAUUUAGUUGCCAGUACUCUUACAGCAAUCCAGCAGGCCUCCCAUGUGCUACAGCUGAGAAAGCUUCAAAGCCAGUCCAUGCUAAUGCUUCAGGAUUCCCACUGCUGGAGAAUUUGCAGUAGUAGUAACACAGUGGUGAGAGAUUGAUUGCAAAUAUCCUCGCUUCCUCGGGAGAAUCGUCCAGGGAGAAAAAUACAGGCAUCUUCAAUUUCCACUCGCACUUUAGGACAGUCUAAUGUAAAGUCCAACUCUCACCAACUCUCCUUUACCCCCUUCUCCCCCCUUGCACCCUCUCCCUGAACCUUUUAUUUCUGAUGGAAAACAGCAAUAAAGGGGAAGGAAAUUAGAUAAAUAAAUACCAUAUUGGAAAACUCUUUUUUAAAAAAAUAUGAAUAAUUUUCAGGAUGUACAAGACAAGCAUUCUCUAAGUUGUUUCCCUACCUCUCACCCUCCCUAAAACCUUUUUGUCAAGAAGUGUUGUGCAGAAAAUCUUGGAUGAUUACGUUAAAGGAGAAUAACCUGCUAUCGUGGUUUUGGAGAAAAUUAAAAAUUUCAGGAACUCUGCACACACAGAUGCCAGGGACACAGUAACACGAGGGGUGUUGGUGCUGUGGUAGAAGGGCGCUGCAGCUUUACUGCAGCAGGAAGGUGACGCCUCAUCUCUUGGCAGCAUCUCAAGUUUUGGCUGUGGGUUAAUGUGGCACGGUCGCUAUUUUUUUUCUGGGUUAAUGUGACAUCUCAGUUUUGGCAAUGGGUUGUUGGACAGUUAACGUGACACCGUCUCAGCUUAAAGGCCCUUCGGUGAUGGAUCAACUCGGCUGGAUUUAUUUAACCCAUUCAGGCGCCUCUGCAGAGAAAUGCCACCUUUCUCGAAAACAAACCCACAGCACGCAGCAAAGGAAGCCAUAAGCCCAGAGAAGUCCUGGAGACUUUGGAAGUGGGUGAAGCGGGGCGCGGGA